Molecule: ribosomal RNA, 397 nt
Filed under: Vibrio parahaemolyticus
Lineage: Bacteria; Pseudomonadati; Pseudomonadota; Gammaproteobacteria; Vibrionales; Vibrionaceae
Description: bacterial LSU rRNA
Rfam family: Bacterial large subunit ribosomal RNA
Source: RNAcentral
AGCGUACACGGUGGAUGCCUUAGCAGUCAGUGGCGAUGAAAGACGUAGUAACUUGCGAUAAGUCCUGAUUAGGUAGCAACAACCACUUGAGUCUGUGAUUUCCGACUGGGGAAACCUACGAGCAUAAGCACGUACCCUUACCUGAAUACAUAGGGUAAGGAGGCGAACCGGGGGAACUGAAACAUCUAAGCACCCCGAGGAAAAGAAAACAACCGAGAUUCCGAAAGUAGCGGCGAGCGAAAUUGGAAUAGCCCUUAAGCCUUUCAUGCCGUAGAAGAACCGUCUUGUAAGUCCGGCGCUACAGGGUGAUAGUCCCGCCGCUGGACACGGGUGUUAAGGGAAAUCGAGUAGGGUGGGACACGCGAAGUCCUGUCCGUAGUCGGAGGGGCCACUCUCC